This is a long non-coding RNA of Coregonus clupeaformis (lake whitefish), 728 nucleotides long. RefSeq lists it as uncharacterized. The record is from RefSeq and is a predicted model, not a curated record. The transcript has 3 exons. Lineage: Eukaryota; Metazoa; Chordata; Actinopteri; Salmoniformes; Salmonidae.
GCAAGCAGUGGCAGAGUGAGGAGCUCUCUCAUAAACCUAUGUCCUGCACACCAACAGCUGGACCACUCCUGGGCCACUUCCUCUCUGGACAUUCCACCACUAGUGUCUACUGUGUCCAUGACCAUGUGCAACAAAGACAGACUGAUCCAAGGAUUUCCAGAGCCUUCUGACCAACUACCUGCGAUCUCUCCAGAGCACAGAGAAGUGAGUCUGCUGGGCUAUGGAACUCUAGAGCAGCACAUCAACAAACCUGUCACUCUGUUGUCAGCUAUCCGCAGACUUUCAAUGGCCACAUUUUGGGGAUGACCAAAUGCCAUGAAGUUUUGUAUGAACAACAAUUUUUAAUUUUUUUAUUGUAAGAUUACAAAACAAUAACUUUUUCAAAGCAUGUUUGUCAUGUUGGUCUUCACUUGUUUACUAACUGCUGUGAUAACUUAAACAUCCAGACAAAUACACUUAGAGAUUAUGAUUUAAAAGGAGUCUCAUGUCCAGAGUGAACAUUUUUAUUAAUGUCUUUCCGGUGAGAAGAAGGCAGUGGGAAGGUAGGCCCCUAAAUGGCAGGAAAUCCAAAGAAAGAAGACGAGUAGACAGCCGGUAUGUAGCAAUAAACUUUAGUGAACUAUUAACAGAAUAUAUUUACAAAAUAAUACAUAUGGGAGCAGUCAGUCUAGUACAUCAGGACGCACAACUGCAACGUGUUUCGACUACUAGAGCCUUCCUCAGGGAGC